This 75-nucleotide transfer RNA is filed under the name Spiroplasma platyhelix PALS-1. RNAcentral's name for it is "tRNA-Lys". It matches the Rfam family "tRNA". Rfam says of the family: Transfer RNA (tRNA) molecules are approximately 80 nucleotides in length. Their secondary structure includes four short double-helical elements and three loops (D, anti-codon, and T loops). Lineage: Bacteria; Bacillati; Mycoplasmatota; Mollicutes; Entomoplasmatales; Spiroplasmataceae. The record is from RNAcentral.
GCCCUCGUAGCUCAGUGGUAGAGCACCCGGCUUUUAAUCGGGGUGUCGCAAGUUCGAGCCUUGCCGGGGGCACCA